This 497-nucleotide ribosomal RNA is filed under the name uncultured bacterium. RNAcentral's name for it is "partial 16S ribosomal RNA". It matches the Rfam family "Bacterial small subunit ribosomal RNA", at positions 28 to 507 of the family's 1533-position model. The record is from RNAcentral.
GAUGAACGCUGGCGGCGUGCCUAAUACAUGCAAGUCGAGCGAACAGAUGAGGAGCUUGCUCCUCUGACGUUAGCGGCGGACGGGUGAGUAACACGUGGAUAACCUACCUAUAAGACUGGGAUAACUUCGGGAAACCGGAGCUAAUACCGGAUAAUAUAUUGAACCGCAUGGUUCAAUAGUGAAAGACGGUUUUGCUGUCACUUAUAGAUGGAUCCGCGCCGCAUUAGCUAGUUGGUAAGGUAACGGCUUACCAAGGCAACGAUGCGUAGCCGACCUGAGAGGGUGAUCGGCCACACUGGAACUGAGACACGGUCAAGACUCCUACGGGAGGCAGAAGUAGGGAAUCUUCCGCAAUGGGCGAAAGCCUGACGGAGCAACGCCGCGUGAGUGAUGAAGGUCUUCGGAUCGUAAAACUCUGUUAUUAGGGAAGAACAAAUGUGUAAGUAACUAUGCACGUCUUGACGGUACCUAAUCAGAAAGCCACGGCUAACUACGUG